GACGAACGCUGGCGGCGUGCGUAACACAUGCAAGUCGAGCGGGUAAGGCCCUUUCGGGGGUACACGAGCGGCGAACGGGUGAGUAACACGUGGGUGACCUGCCCUUAGCGUCUGGGAUAAGCCCUGGGAAGCUGGGUCUAAUACCGGAUAUGACUCCAUGACGCAUGUUGUGGGGUGAAAGCCUUGUGCGGCUAGGGAUGGGCCUGCGGGCCUAUCAGCUUGUUGGUGGGGUGAGUGGCCUACCAAGGCGACGACGGGUAGCCGGCCUGAGAGGGCGACCGGCCA
RNAcentral lists this ribosomal RNA (285 nucleotides) under uncultured bacterium. Its description in RNAcentral is "partial 16S ribosomal RNA". It matches the Rfam family "Bacterial small subunit ribosomal RNA", at positions 28 to 310 of the family's 1533-position model. The record is from RNAcentral.